This 253-nucleotide ribosomal RNA is filed under the name uncultured bacterium. RNAcentral's name for it is "partial 16S ribosomal RNA". It matches the Rfam family "Bacterial small subunit ribosomal RNA", at positions 524 to 776 of the family's 1533-position model. The record is from RNAcentral.
UACGUAGGCAGCGAGCGUUGUUCGGAGUUACUGGGCGUAAAGAGUGCGUAGGCGGUUUUCUAAGUUUGGUGUGAAAUCUCCCGGCUCAACUGGGAGGGUGCGCCGAAGACUGGAAGACUUGAGUAUGGGAGAGGUAAGCGGAAUUCCUGGUGUAGCGGUGAAAUGCGUAGAUAUCAGGAGGAACACCUGCGGUGUAGACGGCUUACUGGACCAUAACUGACGCUGAGGCACGAAAGCGUGGGUAGCAAACAGG